GAUCGGCCCGCGUCUGAUUAGCUAGUUGGUGGGGUAAUGGCCCACCAAGGCGACAAUCAGUAGCUGGUCUGAGAGGAUGAUCAGCCACAUUGGGACUGAGACACGGCCCAAACUCCUACGGGAGGCAGCAGUGGGGAAUAUUGGACAAUGGGCGCAAGCCAGAUCCAGCCAUGCCGCGUGAGUGAUGAAGGCCCUAGGGUUGUAAAGCUCUUUUGUGCGGGAAGAUAAUGACGGUACCGCAAGAAUAAGCCCCGGCUAACUUCGUGCCAGCAGCCGCGGUAAUACAAAGGGGGCUAGCGUUGCUCGGAAUCACUGGGCGUAAAGGGUGCGUAGGCGGGUCUUUAAGUCAGGGGUGAAAUCCUGGAGCUCAACUCCAGAACUGCCUUUGAUACUGAAGAUCUUGAGUUCGGGAGAGGUGAGUGGAACUGCGAGUGUAGAGGUGAAAUUCGUAGAUAUUCGCAAGAACACCAGUGGCGAAGGCGGCUCACUGGCCCGAUACUGACGCUGAGGCACGAAAGCGUGGGGAGCAAACAGGAUUAGAUACCCUGGUAGUCCACGCCCGUAAACGAUGAAUGCCAGCCGUUAGUGGGUUUACUCACUAGUGGCGCAGCUAACGCUUUUAACAUUCCGCCUGGGGAGU
Molecule: ribosomal RNA, 640 nt
Filed under: uncultured Alphaproteobacteria bacterium
Lineage: Bacteria; Pseudomonadati; Pseudomonadota; Alphaproteobacteria
Description: bacterial SSU rRNA
Rfam family: Bacterial small subunit ribosomal RNA
Source: RNAcentral